RNAcentral lists this ribosomal RNA (355 nucleotides) under uncultured bacterium. Its description in RNAcentral is "partial 16S ribosomal RNA". It matches the Rfam family "Bacterial small subunit ribosomal RNA", at positions 338 to 710 of the family's 1533-position model. The record is from RNAcentral.
CCUACGGGUGGCAGCAGUGGGGAAUAUUGCACAAUGGGGGAAACCCUGAUGCAGCGACGCCGCGUGAGGGAAGAAGUAUUUCGGUACGUAAAGCUCUAUCAGCAGGGAAGAAAAUGACGGUACCUGACUAAGAAGCCCCGGCUAACUACGUGCCAGCAGCCGCUGUAAUCAGGAGGGGGCAAGCGGUAACCCGAUUUACUGGGGGUAAAGGGGGCGUAGACGGGAGCGAAAGUCUGGAGUGAAAUACCAUGGCUUAACCACGGAACUGCUUUGGAAACUGUGCAGCUGGAGUGCAGGAGAGGUAAGCGGAAUGCGUAGUGUAGCGGUGAAAUGCGUAGAUAUCAGGAGGAACACC